UACGUAGGGUGCAAGCGUUGUCCGGAAUUAUUGGGCGUAAAGAGCUCGUAGGCGGUCUGUCGCGUCGGCUGUGAAAGUCCGGGGCUCAACUCCGGAUCUGCGGUGGGUACGGGCAGACUAGAGUGAUGUAGGGGAGACUGGAAUUCCUGGUGUAGCGGUGAAAUGCGCAGAUAUCAGGAGGAACACCGAUGGCGAAGGCAGGUCUCUGGGCAUUAACUGACGCUGAGGAGCGAAAGCAUGGGGAGCGAACAGG
RNAcentral lists this ribosomal RNA (253 nucleotides) under uncultured bacterium. RNAcentral's name for it is "partial 16S ribosomal RNA". It matches the Rfam family "Bacterial small subunit ribosomal RNA", at positions 524 to 776 of the family's 1533-position model. The record is from RNAcentral.